RNAcentral lists this ribosomal RNA (292 nucleotides) under uncultured bacterium. RNAcentral's name for it is "partial 16S ribosomal RNA". It matches the Rfam family "Bacterial small subunit ribosomal RNA", at positions 505 to 796 of the family's 1533-position model. The record is from RNAcentral.
GUGUCAGCAGCCGCGGUAAUACAGAGGGUGCGAGCGUUAAUCGGAGUUACUGGGCGUAAAGGGUGCGUAGGCGGUACGGUGUGAGAGAUGUGAAAGCCCCGGGCUUAACCUGGGAAGAGCAUCUUUAACUACCGAACUAGAGUACAUCAGAGGGUGGCGGAAUUUCCGGUGUAGCGGUGAAAUGCGUAGAGAUCGGAAGGAACGCCGGUGGCGAAGGUGGCCACCUGGGGUGAUACUGACGCUGAGGCACGAGAGCGUGGGGAGCGAACAGGAUUAGAUACCCUUGUAGUCC